Molecule: RNA transcript, 1773 nt
Organism: Dioscorea cayenensis subsp. rotundata (Guinea yam)
Lineage: Eukaryota; Viridiplantae; Streptophyta; Magnoliopsida; Dioscoreales; Dioscoreaceae
Gene name: protein DETOXIFICATION 16-like
Exons: 9
Source: RefSeq, a predicted model, not a curated record
ACAUAGCCCCAUCAGACUCCACUAGUUCUCCCAGCUUCUCUCUAGUGCUCUUUGUGAAGACCGUUGACCAUAGUUUUUAAGCCAAAAGACCAAGAAACACCAUAGUGCAACAAUGGCCGACGCCUUAGCUGGAGAAGAGCAUACCCUAAGGAAAGGCCAUAUCAUCACUGAAGUAAAGAAGCAGUUAUGGCUUGCAGGGCCUCUCAUUGUUUCUGGAAUACUUGAGAAACUAAUUCAGGUCAUCUCCCUCUCAUUUGUUGGUCAUCUUGGAGAGCUUCCCCUCUCAGCUGCUUCUAUGGCUACUUCCUUUGCUAUUGUCACUGGUCUAAGUUUAUUGCUAGGGAUGGGAACUGCAUUGGAUACUUUAUGUGGCCAAGCUUAUGGAGCAAAACAAUACCAUUUGCUUGGAAUAUAUUUACAAAGAGCAAUGCUUCUUAAUAUCAUUGCGAGCAUUCCCUUUGCUUUCAUUUGGGCCUUCACCGGUAGAAUCCUGCAUGCCACAGGUCAAGAUAAAGAGAUAUCCAUGGCUGCUCAAUUAUAUGCUCGGUGCAUGAUACCGCUUUUAUUUGUCUAUGGCCUUCUUCAAUGUCAUUAUAGGUUCUUACAGGCUCAAAAUAUCGUCAUUCCUAUGAUUCUAACUUCUGGAUUCACAAUUUUAGUUCACAUCUUUGCAUGUUGGUUUCUGAUUUUUAAAAUUAAAGUUGGCUACAUAGGUGCUGCAAUUGCCAAUUCUGUAUCUUACUCUACAUCUUUAGCGUUAAUAGCGGCAUAUGUAUGGUUAUCUCCAAGAUUCAAGAAGACAUGGAUUGGCUUUUCAAGAGAAGCUUUGCAUGAUUUGUCAAGUUUAAUCAAACUUGCUGUUCCAUCUGGUUUAAUGAUUUGUUUAGAGUUUUGGUCAUUUGAAGCUGUCGUUAUUCUUUCUGGUCUUCUUCCAAAUCCCAAGUUAGAAACAUCAGUACUUGCAAUCUGUCUUACCACUGUUUCAUUGGCAUACAUGAUCCCAUUUGGUAUUAGUGCUUCAGGAAGCACACGCGUUUCAAAUGAAUUGGGUGCUGGAAAUUCACAAAAAGCGCGCUCAGCUGUAUACAUUGGAGAAAUUAUAUCAAUUAUUCAAGGUUCAAUUAUAGGAUCCAUCCUAAUUUUAGGACAUAACAUAUGGGGAAAACUUUAUAGCAAAGAUAUUAAUGUUGUGAAACAUAUUGCAAAAAUGAUGCCUCUUCUAUCAUUAUCCAUAUUCAUGGAUGCUACUCAAUGCGUCCUCAUGGGCACUGUUAGAGGAUGUGGUUGGCAGAAACUCGUCGUUGUUGUUAAUCUUGCAGCUUUUUAUUUGGUUGGCCUUCCUUCUGGUAUUCUGUUUGCAUUUGUUUUUCAUCUCAGAGAAAAGGGCCUUUGGUUAGGAAUUAUAUGCGGUCUCUCGACACAAGUCAUAUUACUCCUAAUUAUCACUCUAUCAACUAACUGGGACAAAGAAGCAAAGAAGGCUGAGAAUAGAAUUAACAGUUCCAUCAAUUCCAUUGGCAUGAUAACAAGAAGGAAUGAGGAAGUAAGAGUACUGGAUGAUGGUCACUAGUGUUCAUGGUUGAUAAUAAAACAUCAUGUUCUGCAUGUUGCACCAUUAUAUUGUGGUUUUCGGGGAAAACUUUGAAAGACCAUUGGCCUUCACUCUUUAAUGAUUGUAUUAAUCCAUGGAUUACAGUUUGCCAGUUCUCUGAACAAAUAAGUUCCCUGGAGAAUCCCUUUCACUCUACUUCCACUGAAGAGUUAUCAACCUUU